Molecule: long non-coding RNA, 1930 nt
Filed under: Daphnia pulex (common water flea)
Lineage: Eukaryota; Metazoa; Arthropoda; Branchiopoda; Diplostraca; Daphniidae
Description: uncharacterized LOC124209125
Source: RNAcentral
CAGUUAUUUCUAUUCAUGGAUGGGGUUUCGACCAGAAUAUGUACCACUCCUACCCACCCAAGACGGAAAAAAGAGGAGGAAAAAAGAAGAGUCGAGUCUCAAAGUCUCAAAGCCCAUUAUUACUGAUUGAUUAUUGAUUGGCGGGAUAUUAAAGGGUUCACCUCCUGUCUAUUAAGGGUUCACUACCACAUCACGCUAACAACAAACAUAUCUUAAACAAAAUAUAAUAAUAACAAUAUUAUCUUUCAUGUUUAUUCUUGCAUGUGUGUGUCUACAGGAUGGUUAUAUCCAAACAACAAAUACGAGCAGCCAGAACAUGCCGUGGACAUUCUGAACUGCAUGUCACAGUUCGAACUGCUUUUAUGGCAGCAGACAGAGCGACUAGUUUCAUGGCUCAGGUGACCUGCGACAGAGAAGUGCAGACGGCUCUUCACAGGUUGUUCCCUCAUCGCUUCAACCAAUCGAACAUCCAUGCGUAUGCAUUUAAUUGCACUUGUAGUAUUGGUUGCAGUAAUUCCUACCCAUGGAUAGGGUGUCAACCGAAAUCUAUUACUUUCGAUCGCCGCUGCGUUGAUUCAGAACAACGCAGUUCGUGGAAAUUGUGGACGACGUAGUCCAAGAGGGGCAGGACGUGGUGCUUUGGCCGCAGGACUUGGUGCCUUGGCCGCAGUACGUGGUGCGUUGGCUGCUUAGCCUGUUGCAUUGGCUGUUUGGCCUGGUGCAUUUGCCGCUGGGCAUGGUGCAUUGGGUGCUGGACGUUAUGACUCCCUCGCAUCACGCUUAUUCAUAUUAGUUCGUUGAAUUUUCUUUUACAGUUUUUUUUAUAAAUUUGAGCAUGCAGCGUCCCCCCAUUUUGAGUUUUUGAAGAUAAAGAGAUUUUUUUUUAGUUUGAUACUGCUUGCUUUGCCCCCUUUUUUGCCCCCUCGUUUGUACCCUGGCGGCUUUUUACCCAAUUUUACUCAAUUAGUAUUUGGCUCAAAUAUCCUUUGAUUUGUAUCCCUGUGAUGCGCACUGUUUUUGGCUUCCAUAAACAAAUUUAAAUGCACACUUACGACUUUUUCACCCAGCACGUAACCUUCCAUGCAUAUGGAGACUGACAAACAGCGUCGUGCGAUGCACGGUGGAUGCACGGCAACUUGAUACAGAAUUGUACGCAUCGGUAUUCCAGCCUCAAUGCAUCGUAACAUUGUUCCCAAUUCUCUGGACGAACUGGUGGGUAAAAAAAUACGAGAUCUUGCUGCUGCAAGCCGUUCUCUGUAUAGUAGCGAACUUCAAACUUUGGAACGAGAAUUAAUUCGUCUUCGAAAAGAAAGAAGUAAUAUAGUAGCUUCAAUCAGGGGUGCUAAUAAGUUGGUUUCUGUUUCGUUAAAUUAUAAUGCUAGUCUAGUUCUUCACUGUGUUUUUAAAUUCAUUUGAAUAGAUGAAAUUGUUGGAUUUAGCCCAGAUACAUGGUGAAAACAAAAAAAAUUGUGGUAAAAACAAAAAAUUGAGGAUUGAAUCGAAAAAGCUGAUCAGUCUUAAAAAAUUUCCAUGAGGCCCAUGUAAAGUAUUUUAACACCGAUAGACAGCGUCGUUCGAUGCAAAUGCAAUUAAUUUCUCAAGAAAAAAAAAUCUGCAGUACUCCAAACCCCUGUCGAACUUCAUGGGGAAUCGCUUUAUUAUGUAAUAUUAAUGUCACUAAAAUUUCGUAGAAAUUGAUAUAUUUUUAUUAUUUAUUAGGGAAAUGCAAGUUUCUUUCUCACACAAUGACUCUAGAAUGAAGUAUAUUAAGUCGGGGAAUGGUAGAGCAAUCGUGUGUGUUCACUAGGCCACUAGAAGAAAGAGGAAGAGAAGGUGCGAUGUUGCCAAAUUUUAAAAUGGGAAAUGAAUGACGUUACCAAGUAAAAACAGACUCCUGUAUGACAUCGAUAACAUCAAAGAGAUGAAAAUG